GAUGAACGCUGGCGGCGUGCCUAAUACAUGCAAGUCGAGCGAACGGACGAGAAGCUUGAUUCUCUGAUGUUAGCGGCGGACGGGUGAGUAACACGUGGAUAACCUACCUAUAAGACUGGGAUAACUUCGGGAAACCGGAGCUAAUACCGGAUGAUAUUUUGAACCGCAUGGUUCAAAAGUGAAAGACGGUCUUGCUGUCACUUAUAGGUGGAUCCGCGCCGAAUUAGCUAGUUGGUAAGGUAACGGCUUACCAAGGCAACGAUGCAUAGCCGACCUGAGAGGGGGACAGGCCACACUGGAACGGCGACACGGUCCAGACUCCUACGGGAGGCAGCAGUAGGGAAUCUUCCGCAAUUGGCGAAAGCCUGACGGAGCAACGCCGCGUGAGUGAUGAAGGUCUUCUGAUCGUAAAACUCUGUUAUUAGUGAAGAACAUAUGUGUAAGUAACUGUGCACAUCUUGACGGUACCUAAUCAGAAAGCCACGGCUAACUACGUG
RNAcentral lists this ribosomal RNA (497 nucleotides) under uncultured bacterium. Its description in RNAcentral is "partial 16S ribosomal RNA". It matches the Rfam family "Bacterial small subunit ribosomal RNA", at positions 28 to 507 of the family's 1533-position model. The record is from RNAcentral.